AAAGCAUUCAAAGCACUGUGUUCUGAGAUACCUGGAUAUUGUGAUAAGGCACAAAGAAUGAAAGAGUAAGAGAAAGAAAAGGAAUGAGGAUAUCUCUGCUGAACUAUGAAGGGAUACUUGCAAUUAUGAAUGUCUCAGUUCUUCCAAUGAGAAAAGCCUAACUUAGGGGUAAAAUGAAAAUGAAGUGAAAUAGGGGAGAACUGAAAAAGGAGCUUCACCUGCACAUGACCAGCACCUGAAGAGGAGGGAUGGACAAGCACAGUCGUGCAUUUGGAAAGAGAAAUUCAAGGAAAUAUUAAACAAAAGAAGACAUGAAGUGGAAAAGUCAUUACAUUGUGGGGAAAAAUGACACAGAACAAUCAAAAUAGAGAGAUCACCUAAUCAUCUUACAGAGAAAGGAGCAUUUAAUCAUCCUGGCAAAAUGAUCAGGUUAUUUCCAGUGAAAUUACAUUAGUCCAUGUGGGGCAGGUCAGUUUAAUCUCUCAUCUUUCGUUCCUUUACUAGAAUGCCUACUUCAUAGGAUGUGAGGAAGGCAUAUAGCAGCUCCUGUAUUUAAUAAAUACUAGCUUCUCUUCUGAU
RNAcentral lists this long non-coding RNA (579 nucleotides) under Rhinopithecus bieti (black snub-nosed monkey). Its description in RNAcentral is "lncRNA (ENSRBIG00000045745.1)". Lineage: Eukaryota; Metazoa; Chordata; Mammalia; Primates; Cercopithecidae. The record is from RNAcentral.